CAGCCGCCGCGGGAAUACAGAGGGUGCGAGCGUUAAUCGGAUUUACUGGGCGUAAAGCGUGCGUAGGCGGCUUCUUAAGUCGGAUGUGAAAUCCCUGAGCUUAACUUAGGAAUUGCAUUCGAUACUGGGAAGCUAGAGUAUGGGAGAGGAUGGUAGAAUUCCAGGUGUAGCGGUGAAAUGCGUAGAGAUCUGGAGGAAUACCGAUGGCGAAGGCAGCCAUCUGGCCUAAUACUGACGCUGAGGUACGAAAGCAUGGGGAGCAAACAGGAUUAGAUACCCAGUAGUCCCUGUCUCUUAUACA
Molecule: ribosomal RNA, 301 nt
Filed under: uncultured bacterium
Lineage: Bacteria
Description: partial 16S ribosomal RNA
Rfam family: Bacterial small subunit ribosomal RNA
Source: RNAcentral